CCUCUGGAGAAGCCCGUUUGGGUGCCGAAGGUGUAAGCGGCCGCGCAGGCCGUGAUCUCUCAGGCAAAAGGACAGAGA
Molecule: non-coding RNA, 78 nt
Filed under: bovine gut metagenome
Description: Glycine riboswitch
Rfam family: Glycine riboswitch aptamer
About the family: This family represents the bacterial glycine riboswitch. Glycine riboswitches usually consist of two metabolite-binding aptamers domains with similar structures in tandem.
Source: RNAcentral